This 245-nucleotide ribosomal RNA is filed under the name Paenibacillus validus. Its description in RNAcentral is "Bacterial large subunit ribosomal RNA". It matches the Rfam family "Bacterial large subunit ribosomal RNA", at positions 1464 to 1709 of the family's 2925-position model. Lineage: Bacteria; Bacillati; Bacillota; Bacilli; Caryophanales; Paenibacillaceae. The record is from Rfam by way of RNAcentral.
AUGGGGUGACGCAGAAGGAUAGUGACGCGAGCUGAUGGAUGCUCGUCCAAGCAGUGAGGCUGGUGUGCAGGCAAAUCCGCACACCGUAAGGCUGGGCUGUGAUGGGGAGGGAAAUUUUAGUACCGAAGGUCAUGAGUUCAGGCUGCCAAGAAAAGCCUCUAGCCAGGGAGAAGGUGCCCGUACCGCAAACCGACACAGGUAGGCGAGCAGAGCAUGCUAAGGCGCUCGGAAGAACUCUCGUUAAG